RNAcentral lists this ribosomal RNA (424 nucleotides) under uncultured prokaryote. RNAcentral's name for it is "bacterial SSU rRNA". It matches the Rfam family "Bacterial small subunit ribosomal RNA", at positions 355 to 796 of the family's 1533-position model. The record is from RNAcentral.
UGGGGAAUCUUGGACAAUGGGCGGAAGCCUGAUCCAGCCAUGCCGCGUGAGUGAAGAAGGCCCUAGGGUCGUAAAGCCCUUUCACCGGGGAAGAUGAUGACAUUACCCGGAGAAGAAGCGCCGGCUAACUCCGUGCCAGCAGCCGCGGUAAGACGGAGGGCGCUAGCGUUGUUCGGAAUCACUGGGCGUAAAGGGCGCGUAGGCGGCUGUUUAAGUCGAGGGUGAAAGCCCGGGGCUCAACCCCGGAACGGCCUUCGAGACUGGGCAGCUCGAGACCGGAAGAGGAGGGUGAAAAACCCAGUGUAGAGGUGAAAUUCGUAGAUAUUGGGUGGAACACCAGUGGCGAAAGCGGCUCUCUGGUCCGGAUCUGACGCUGGGGCGCGAAAGCGUGGGGAGCAAACAGGAUUAGAUACCCGUGUAGUCC